Molecule: ribosomal RNA, 252 nt
Filed under: uncultured bacterium
Lineage: Bacteria
Description: partial 16S ribosomal RNA
Rfam family: Bacterial small subunit ribosomal RNA
Source: RNAcentral
UACGUAGGGGGCAAGCGUUGUCCGGAUUUAUUGGGCGUAAAGAGCGUGUAGGCGGUUUGGUAGGUCCGCUGUGAAAACUCGAGCUCAACCUCGAGACGCCGGUGGAAACCAUCAGACUAGAGUCCGGAAGAGGAGAGUGGAAUUCCUGGUGUAGCGGUGAAAUGCGCAGAUAUCAGGAGGAACACCGAUGGCGAAGGCAGGUCUCUGGGCCGCAACUGACGCUGAGGAGCGAAAGCAUGGGGAGCGAACGGG